GGUUAAGUUAGAAAGGGCGCACGGUGGAUGCCUUGGCACUAGGAGCCGAAGAAGGACGGGACUAACACCGAUAUGCUUUGGGGAGCUGUACGUAAGCGUUGAUCCAGAGAUUUCCGAAUGGGGGAACCCACUAUCUUUAGUCGGAUAGUAUCCUUACGUGAAUACAUAGCGUAAGGAAGGCAGACCCAGGGAACUGAAACAUCUAAGUACCUGGAGGAAGAGAAAGAAAAAUCGAUUUCCUGAGUAGCGGCGAGCGAAACGGAAAGAGCCCAAACCAAGAAGCUUGCUUCUUGGGGUUGUAGGACACUCUAUACGGAGUUACAAAAGAAAGUUAUAAAUGAAGCGGUCUGGAAAGGCCCGCCAAAGACGGUAACAGCCCGGUAGUUGAAAUGGCUUUCCCUCCAGAGUGGAUCCUGAGUACGGCGGAACACGUGAAAUUCCGUCGGAAUCCGGGAGGACCAUCUCCCAAGGCUAAAUACUCCCUAGUGACCGAUAGUGAACCAGUACCGUGAGGGAAAGGUGAAAAGCACCCCGGAAGGGGAGUGAAACAGUUCCUGAAACCGUGUGCCUACAAGUAGUUAGAGCCCGUUAAUGGGUGAUAGCGUGCCUUUUGUAGAAUGAACCGGCGAGUUACGAUUUGUUGCAAGGUUAAGCGGAAAAAGCGGAGCCGUAGCGAAAGCGAGUCUGAAUAGGGCGCAUAAGUAACAGGUCGUAGACCCGAAACCAGGUGAUCUACCCAUGUCCAGGAUGAAGGUAAGGUAAUACUUACUGGAGGUCCGAACCCACGCACGUUGAAAAGUGCGGGGAUGAGGUGUGGGUAGCGGAGAAAUUCCAAUCGAACUUGGAGAUAGCUGGUUCUCUCCGAAAUAGCUUUAGGGCUAGCCUCGAGGUAAAGAGUCAUGGAGGUAGAGCACUGUUUGGACUAGGGGCCCUUCUCGGGUUACCGAAUUCAGAUAAACUCCGAAUGCCAUGUACUUAUACUCGGGAGUCAGACUGCGAGUGAUAAGAUCCGUAGUCGAAAGGGAAACAGCCCAGACCACCAGUUAAGGUCCCCAAAUAUAUGUUAAGUGGAAAAGGAUGUGGGGUUGCUUAGACAACCAGGAUGUUGGCUUAGAAGCAGCCACCAUUGAAAGAGUGCGUAAUAGCUCACUGGUCGAGUGACCCCGCGCCGAAAAUGUACCGGGGCUAAACAUAUUACCGAAACUGUGGAUGAACCUCUUCGGAGGUUCGUGGU
RNAcentral lists this ribosomal RNA (1234 nucleotides) under Listeria monocytogenes. Its description in RNAcentral is "partial 23S ribosomal RNA". It matches the Rfam family "Bacterial large subunit ribosomal RNA", at positions 1 to 1229 of the family's 2925-position model. The record is from RNAcentral. Lineage: Bacteria; Bacillati; Bacillota; Bacilli; Caryophanales; Listeriaceae.